UUCCCCUAGUAACGGCGAGUGAAGAGGGAAAAGCUCAAAUUUGAAAUCUGGCGGCCUACGGUCGUCCGAGUUGUAAUCUAGAGAAGUGUUUUCCGUGCUGGACCGUGUACAAGUCCUUUGGAACAAGGCGUCAUAGAGGGUGAGAAUCCCGUCUACGACACGGACUCCCAGUGCUUUGUGAUACACUCUCAACGAGUCGAGUUGUUUGGGAAUGCAGCUCAAAAUGGGUGGUAAAUUCCAUCUAAAGCUAAAUAUGGGCGAAAGACCGAUAGCGAACAAGUACCGUGAGGGAAAGAUGAAAAGCACUUUGGAAAGAGAGUUAAACAGUACGUGAAAUUGUUGAAAGGGAAACGCUUGAAGUCAGUCGCGUCUUCAGAAACUCAGCCUGGCUUCUGCCUGGUGUACUUUUCUGUGGGACGGGCCAGCAUCAGUUUCGGCCGCCAGAAAAAGGUGGGAGGAAGGUGGCACCUCCGGGUGUGUUAUAGCCUCCUAUCGUAUGUGGCGGCGGGGACUGAGGACUGCAGCACGCCUUUAUGGCCGGGGUUCGCCCACGUAACGUGCUUAGGAUGCUGGCGUAAUGGCUUUAAACGACCCGUCUUGAAACACGGACCAAGGAGUCUAACAUGCCUGCGAGUAUUUGGGUGGCAAACCCAUAUGCGGAAUGAAAGUGAACAGUUGGGACUUCUGUCAUGGAAGGCACCGACGCCCGGACCAGACCUAUUGUGACGGAUCCGAGGUAGAGCAUGUAUGUUGGGACCCGAAAGAUGGUGAACUAUGCCUGAGUAGGGUGAAGCCAGAGGAAACUCUGGUGGAGGCUCGUAGCGAUUCUGACGUGCAAAUCGAUCGUCGAACUUGGGUAUAGGGGCGAAAGACU
RNAcentral lists this ribosomal RNA (874 nucleotides) under Geastrum sp. TNS Sakamoto154. RNAcentral's name for it is "LSU rRNA". It matches the Rfam family "Eukaryotic large subunit ribosomal RNA", at positions 75 to 932 of the family's 3401-position model. The record is from RNAcentral. Lineage: Eukaryota; Fungi; Basidiomycota; Agaricomycetes; Geastrales; Geastraceae.